AUGGCGGGGAAGCGGCGCUGCGGUCGGGCACCGCAUUUGGCGGUGGCAGCUAGGCGGGAGGAGCGCAAUGAGAUGAAGGAGGAGAAAAGUGGAGAGUCGGCAGGGUGGGUCAACCCAUCGGGGUCUCCCGAUCGAUCCGGAUCGAAGCUACUCAACGAGCGUGCGGGGCGGCAUGCGGCUCUCCUGCAGAGGGCGGGGGCGGACGGGCUGGGCGUGCGGAAUAACAGCGGCGGCCAGAUCCAGGUGAGCAGCAGCGGGACCUUGGAAGGCAGCGGGUUUCACCAAGGCGGCGCCAUGGUUCUCUAG
This 306-nucleotide ribosomal RNA is filed under the name Triticum aestivum (bread wheat). RNAcentral's name for it is "partial small subunit ribosomal RNA". The record is from RNAcentral. Lineage: Eukaryota; Viridiplantae; Streptophyta; Magnoliopsida; Poales; Poaceae.